This 313-nucleotide small RNA is filed under the name Histoplasma ohiense. RNAcentral describes it as "hypothetical lncRNA". The record is from RNAcentral. Lineage: Eukaryota; Fungi; Ascomycota; Eurotiomycetes; Onygenales; Ajellomycetaceae.
GGUUUGCCAACGGGCCACAGGAGGCAGGCCGCAUGGUCACACUGCGGUUUUAAAUGACCCUUCUUCUGGCCUCUAGGUCGAGUUGGAACUUCAUAUAGUGGGAACCAGGCUUUGAGAGGGGUAAGGUAAGAAAGGAGGGAGAGGAGGGAGUGGUUUGUAACCUGUCGACUAUAGUUCUACGUCAAUCAUAACAAUUUUUGUAAGGUUAUGUAGUUUGGCUGAUAGAUAGGCAGGCUACCUAGUUUUCAAUAAUAAGGAAGUAAAUAAACAAAAGAUAGAUGAAAUGGGGCCUCUUUAUAUGAGAAAAGGGGAU